AUUGAACGCUGGCGGCAGGCCUAACACAUGCAAGUCGAGCGGCAGCGGAAAGUAGCUUGCUACUUUGCCGGCGAGCGGCGGACGGGUGAGUAAUGUCUGGGAAACUGCCUGAUGGAGGGGGAUAACUACUGGAAACGGUAGCUAAUACCGCAUAACGUCGCAAGACCAAAGAGGGGGACCUUCGGGCCUCUUGCCAUCAGAUGUGCCCAGAUGGGAUUAGCUAGUAGGUGGGGUAAUGGCUCACCUAGGCGACGAUCCCUAGCUGGUCUGAGAGGAUGACCAGCCACACUGGAAAUGAGACACGGUCCAGACUCCUACGGGAGGCAGCAGUGGGGAAUAUUGCACAAUGGGCGCAAGCCCGAUGCAGCCAUGCCGCGUGUAUGAAGAAGGCCUUCGGGUUGUAAAGUACUUUCAGCGGGGAGGAAGGUGUUGAGGUUAUUAACCUCAGCAAUUGACGUUACCCGCGGAAGAAGCACCGGCUAACUCCGUGCCAGCCGCCGCGGUAA
RNAcentral lists this ribosomal RNA (506 nucleotides) under uncultured bacterium. Its description in RNAcentral is "partial 16S ribosomal RNA". It matches the Rfam family "Bacterial small subunit ribosomal RNA", at positions 30 to 523 of the family's 1533-position model. The record is from RNAcentral.